AAUCUUCCACAAUGGACGAAAGUCUGAUGGAGCAACGCCGCGUGAGCGAAGAAGGUUUUCGGAUCGUAAAGCUCUGUUGCGAGGGAAGAACAAGUACGGGAGUACCUGCCCGUACCUAGACGGUACCUCGUCUGAAAGCCACGGCUAACUACGUUCCAGCAGCCGCGGUAAUACGUAGGUGGCAAGCGUUGUCCGGAAUGAUUGGGCGUAAAGCGCGCGCAGGCGGUCCUUUAAGUCUGAUGUGAAAGACCACGGCUCAAAAGUGGAGGGUCAUUGGAAACUGGAGGACUUGAGUACAGAAGAGGAAAGAGGAAUUCCACGUGUAGCGGUGAAAUGCGUAGAGAUGUGGAGGAACACCAGUGGCGAAGGCGGCUUUCUGGUCUGUAACUGACGCUGAGGCGCGAAAGCGUGGGGAGCAAACA
RNAcentral lists this ribosomal RNA (422 nucleotides) under uncultured bacterium. RNAcentral's name for it is "partial 16S ribosomal RNA". It matches the Rfam family "Bacterial small subunit ribosomal RNA", at positions 360 to 774 of the family's 1533-position model. The record is from RNAcentral.